RNAcentral lists this ribosomal RNA (253 nucleotides) under uncultured bacterium. RNAcentral describes it as "partial 16S ribosomal RNA". It matches the Rfam family "Bacterial small subunit ribosomal RNA", at positions 524 to 776 of the family's 1533-position model. The record is from RNAcentral.
UACGAAGGGGGCUAGCGUUGUUCGGAAUCACUGGGCGUAAAGCGCACGUAGGCGGAUGUGCCAGUCAGGGGUGAAAGCCCAGAGCUCAACUCUGGAACUGCCCUUGAAACUGGUGACCUUGAGUACGGGAGAGGUGAGUGGAAUUCCCAGUGUAGAGGUGAAAUUCGUAGAUAUUGGGAAGAACACCGGUGGCGAAGGCGGCUCACUGGCCCGUAACUGACGCUCAGGCGCGAUAGCGUGGGGAGCAAACAGG